GCUAAAACUGGGUGCCAAGUCUUAGUUUCUCCCAGUCUGUCUGAAUGUUUUGGAACAUGAAUUGAGCAAAAGCUGCUGUUGAAGAUGUUCUCUAUGGGACGCUGGUUUGAUGAUCUGCCCUCUGCAGAUCAGGCCUCCAUCAUGGACAUGUACUUCUACAGAUCACCCAACUAGAGUGUGAGAUCACUGCUCUGAAGGAUGUGAAGGAUCGGCUGGACAAACAGAGAACCGUUCUUGAAGCAGAAGAGCAGCUGGAGCAGAGUCAUCAUCAGCUGGCCACCGUAAGAAAACAUCGCCAAUAUGCAAUACAAGCAGCUGACCUGUACAGAGAGCAACUGGCAUCCUCUCUUACAAGAGAUACUGUUUUUGGGAUGGACCCCUUCUCAACAACAUGACAAGACAAGAGCAGA
Molecule: long non-coding RNA, 410 nt
Organism: Pygocentrus nattereri (red-bellied piranha)
Lineage: Eukaryota; Metazoa; Chordata; Actinopteri; Characiformes; Serrasalmidae
Exons: 4
Source: RefSeq, a predicted model, not a curated record